CCGUCGAGGAUUAGGAUCGAGUUUCUUCGAUCGUGAGGGCAAUUAUUAGCGGCCUCUAGCCCCCCAGAUGGCAUCUUGAGGAGAGAGAAUCCACGCUACGAGAACUAACAUAGUGGACAUCGCAGUUGUCCGUAGCCGAUUUGCGGGUUACGGAGUUGUUGCAAGUAGAGAAGGGGAAAUCCGAGCGUUCUCGCGUUGGAUUUCCUCCACGUGUUAAAUGCGAAUGGUAGUGAUAUCUCGUGCUAUCUCUGUCAAGGGCAAGAAGGAGAAAGAAUUUAUUUGAGGCCCUACGACGUGGUGCGGUGGCUCACGCCUGUAAUCCCAACACUUUGGGAGGCCGAGGCAGGCGGAUCAUCUGAGAUCGAGAGUUCGAGACCAGCUUGACCAACAUGGAGAAACCCCGUCUCUACUAAAAGUACAAAAUUAGCCAGGCAUGGUGGCACAUGCCCGUAAUCCCAGCUACUCGGGAGGCUGAGGCAGGAGAGUAGCUUGAGCCCAGGAGGCGGAGGUUGUGGUGAGCCGAGAUCGCGCCAUUGCACAGCCUGGGCAACGAGCGAAACUCCAUCUCAAAAAAAUAAAUAAAAAUUUUUUUAAAAAAG
This 599-nucleotide long non-coding RNA is filed under the name Pan troglodytes (chimpanzee). Its description in RNAcentral is "lincRNA". Lineage: Eukaryota; Metazoa; Chordata; Mammalia; Primates; Hominidae. The record is from RNAcentral.